RNAcentral lists this ribosomal RNA (339 nucleotides) under uncultured Membranomyces. RNAcentral describes it as "eukaryotic LSU rRNA". Lineage: Eukaryota; Fungi; Basidiomycota; Agaricomycetes; Cantharellales; Hydnaceae. The record is from RNAcentral.
UCAGUGGAUCCUUGAAUUUUUGGACGCCCCCUGCGCUUCCUGGUAUUUCGGGGAGCCCGCCUGUUCGAGUGUYGUGAAAUUCUCAAACCCGGAAGCUUUUUUUGUUUCUCGGCUUGGUGUUGGGCUUUGCAGUUCCUUUGAUUGGGAUAGCUGGCCUCAAAAGCAUUAGCUGGCUUUUAAUGUGGCAUUGGUUCUACUCAGCGUGAUAAUGAUCUGACCGCCGAGGACAUCUUUCGGGAUGGCCAAUUCUCAUUUGGGGCUGCUUCUAAUUUUGGUAGAGCGGAUUCUGAAUCUGUUCCACUUUUCAGCUUUGACCUCGAAUCAGGUGGGACUACCCGC